CUGCACAACAGCCGCAUAAAAGAAUUUAAAAAAGAAAAAUCAUUGCAAGGAACUAAAUACAAAACCAGACAUAAUUAUACGUUAAUCAAUGCUUACAGCGAGUUCUUGAAGGAGGGUUUGCGAAUCGGGUUGAAGGGACUUGGGGGAGUCUGAUUCAGUGAGAGCGAACAAGACAGUGAGAGGUUUUGAGCUUGAGAGAAAGGGUUUUGCGGAGACUUUGAGAGGAGGGAUAUAAUGAGUAUUUUGAUGGAAAAGAAGGGUAUUAUGGGAAGUGGAAGAUAGAGAGUUGAGAGGUUGCAGUUGCAGGAGAAGAAGAGAAGAAGAAGCCAUUGAUUUUUCCUUUGCAGUUUUGGACGUUAACUGAACCCUCCUGUAUUAUUUCGAAAUUUGAUACGCUUAAAAUCAACGAUAAUAUGAAAAAAAUAAGAAGUGGUGACCCCACAAGGAAAUGUUUCGGAUAAGGUGUAUAUUUGGAGCCGUCUGAUUGCACUGCUUGCUUGCUUGCUGAUUUCACUCUGUGUAUAUUUUUAAUUUCAAAUUUAUAAAAAGAAAUUUGUCCUCCUUAUUAAAUUUCAUUUUUCAAUUUUCAAUUACAGAAUUUGAAAAAGCAUAUUCUGCAAGGGAUAUUUUCCAUUUAAUUAUGCUAACGAUUCUAUAAAAAUGUAACUUUGGAAAAGGAAGAAGACAGGGUCCGCCGUAUUAGCUAUUGCUACUAAUUUUUUUCACAAUUUUAACUCUUAAAAAGUUAUUACAUGUGAUAUAACUAUACCGAUUAUAACUAUAUUUGACAUAGCACAGCAUAUCUGAUAUACAAGCUCUCAAGGCAUCAAUACAGAGGCUCCCAGCAGAGCUAUAUUUGAUCAGGUUGGGUUGGGUGAAAAAACCUUCGCAAAACUUUGCAGAGAUGUCUAGUCACUUCAAAAGUUUCAGAAAAUCGGCGGCACAAGUCCGAUCAUUACAUGAAAAUUUUCAUUUCCUCAGUUCUAUGACAAGAAAAGUUGUAAAUGUUGAAGAGUCCACCUCCAUGUAGCAAACAAAUGGUCUGAUUUUGUUGACCAAUCUAGAACACCUGAAUGAAAAUUUUUAUGGGCACUCUUGAAGCCCCUGCACACUGCUGUACCGUACAUCCGCCUUGGCCGUACAGCAGUAUUUCCUCUCCUGUUAUCAUUCAUCAUUAACAACCUUUAAUGAGGUUUUGUUCAUAUUGUACAAAAAAUCAUGUAAUACUUCAUUCAUAUAGUAGAUUGGAGAUGCGAUGCUUGUGUAGAUGUAGGCCAAAGGAUUAUACCACGUAAAAUCUUGUGUGUUCUAUUAUGAUGAUUUUGUUGCCCAAAUUGUAUUUCAUGUAUGAGCUCACCUAAUUUACCUCAGCUACGUGAGUAUCCUUAAGCACACCUAAGCUACUCUUUAAUUUAAUUCAGCUCCCCAUAUUAACUCGCUAAAUUAACUCCCACGAACUCUAUUGGACGCUCCAUAUUAUUCCCCAUAUGAUCACCUCAUCUCAUCUGCCAAAUCACCUCAUCAAAUAUUUACCCUAAACCAUUAAAAAAAAAAAAAACCUAAACUUUUAUUAGCUCAAUCUCCUCCUAAAUAUAAAUUUAUUUGUUUGAAUCAGAUUUGAGAUAGAUCCUGUGAGAACCAUCCAAUUGGUUCAAAUCAGAUCCUAGUGAAAAUUCAGUUAAAAACAUUAUAGUAAAGUUAAUCAAUAAACAAAUAGGAUCAGUAGUUCUUAGUUCUGCAUUUGCUAUAAAAACCUCAAUUAAACAUUAACCAACAAAGAAAACAACUAACCUCAUCGACGACCGGCCCAUUUGAAAGAUCAAAAGCGGCGUCGUUUAGCUACAGACACACCAAUACAAACAAAAAUAAAUACCAUCUCAAUUUUCAUAAAAAAUAUUAGCCCUAAACACUGUAUAAAUAAACAGACUUACAUCAAGCCGAAGAUCACGUGGUAGCUGAGCUAAGUAAUCUGAUGGAAGAUCAAAAGAAUCCUGCACAACAGCCGCAUAAAAGAAUUUAAAAAAGAAAAAUCAUUGCAAGGAACUAAAUACAAAACCAGACAUAAUUAUACGUUAAUCAAUGCUUACAGCGAGUUCUUGAAGGAGGGUUUGCGAAUCGGGUUGAAGGGACUUGGGGGAGUCUGAUUCAGUGAGAGCGAACAAGACAGUGAGAGGUUUUGAGCUUGAGAGAAAGGGUUUUGCGGAGACUUUGAGAGGAGGGAUAUAAUGAGUAUUUUGAUGGAAAAGAAGGGUAUUAUGGGAAGUGGAAGAUAGAGAGUUGAGAGGUUGCAGUUGCAGGAGAAGAAGAGAAGAAGAAGCCAUUGAUUUUUCCUUUGCAGUUUUGGACGUUAACUGAACCCUCCUGUAUUAUUUCGAAAUUUGAUACGCUUAAAAUCAACGAUAAUAUGAAAAAAAUAAGAAGUGGUGACCCCACAAGGAAAUGUUUCGGAUAAGGUGUAUAUUUGGAGCCGUCUGAUUGCACUGCUUGCUUGCUUGCUGAUUUCACUCUGUG
RNAcentral lists this long non-coding RNA (2511 nucleotides) under Citrus sinensis (sweet orange). RNAcentral's name for it is "long non-coding RNA (CSIN_LNC002302)". The record is from RNAcentral. Lineage: Eukaryota; Viridiplantae; Streptophyta; Magnoliopsida; Sapindales; Rutaceae.